This 73-nucleotide transfer RNA is filed under the name Mus musculus (house mouse). RNAcentral describes it as "tRNA-Ser". Lineage: Eukaryota; Metazoa; Chordata; Mammalia; Rodentia; Muridae. The record is from RNAcentral.
GUCGAGAUGGCUCAGUGGUUAAGAGCACUGACUGCUCUUCCGAAGGUUCUGAGUUCAAUUCUUAGCAACCACA